Molecule: ribosomal RNA, 512 nt
Filed under: uncultured bacterium
Lineage: Bacteria
Description: partial 16S ribosomal RNA
Rfam family: Bacterial small subunit ribosomal RNA
Source: RNAcentral
AACGAACGUUAGCGGCGCGCCUAACACAUGCAAGUCGAACGCGACUGGGGGCAACUCCAGUUGAGUGGCGCACGGGUGAGUAACACGUAGGUAAUCUCCCCUCGAGUGGUGGAUAACCUUCCGAAAGGAGGGCUAAUACAGCAUAAGACCACGGCCUCGAAAGAGGCUGAGAUCGAAGCGGAGGAUCGCAAGACUUCGCGCUUGAGGAUGAGCCUGCGGCCCAUCAGGUAGUUGGCGGAGUAACAGCCCACCAAGCCUAAGACGGGUAGCUGGUCUGAGAGGAUGAUCAGCCACACUGGAACUGAGACACGGUCCAGACUCCUACGGGUGGCAGCAGUGGGGAAUCUUGCGCAAUGGACGAAAGUCUGACGCAGCGACGCCGCGUGGGUGAUGAAGGCCUUCGGGUUGUAAAGCCCUGUGGGGAGGGACGAAUAAGUUGCAGCUAAUACCUGCAGCGAUGACGGUACCUCCUUAGCAAGCACCGGCUAACUCUGUGCCAGCAGCCGCCGUAA